This is a long non-coding RNA of Oryza sativa Japonica Group (Japanese rice), 1756 nucleotides long. RefSeq lists it as uncharacterized. Lineage: Eukaryota; Viridiplantae; Streptophyta; Magnoliopsida; Poales; Poaceae. The record is from RefSeq and is a predicted model, not a curated record.
CCCUUCUGUUUAUCCCCCACAAACCGAGCUUGAAGCUCUCCUCUCUUUUCUCUCUCCUUGCCAUGGCCGGCUAUCACUGUCGUCGGCCGAUCUCCCUCACCGGAGCAAUACCGGCCAAUCCCUCGCGCCAUCGAGCUUGCCUCGAUGAGAGGAAUCCAUUUUUCCCCUUUCCCCUCUUCCUCCACCUCUGAAUCAAACCUCACCGGAGCUCUCUCUCUCCUCCCGGUUCACGACCUUCCAUCCGCCGUUCCGGCUAUUUCCCUUACUCCCUUUUCCGGCCACUGCCAUCCCUAGGUGCCUUGCAGUCGGGAACACCACUGGCCGCCGGCGUCACCGCCUCCUCGCCACCGGAGCCCGGCGCCCCCUCUCCUCCUCCUCUCUGUUCGACCGAGGAGAAAAAGAAGAAAGAGACGGGAAGAAGAAGAAGAAGAGGAGAAAAAGAAAAAGAAAAAGGAAUCCCUGACAGUAGAGUCUAUUUUAUAUGGAUGGCAACCUGUGGUAUUUCAAGCAUCAGAUAAUCAGGUUGCCUAUUUCGGAUUUAUUUGCGUUGGAGCAAGGCAAGUUAUUAUUCCUCCCCUUGAGCAUAAUUACCCUAUAUUCUAUAUCCCUUUUCUAUGCAUUAGUCAUUCAUGAUUUUGAAUGCAUAACCUGAACAUAUAGCAAACCAGAUAUGCUAGCUUUUGCUUAGCCCUGCCUAGUUAGAUUAUGCACAAAAUUUAAUGAACUUAGAUUGGGAUAGUAUGGUAGAAAUGGUUGAUUUCCGGGUGGCUAGUACUGUUCCAACCGACAUAAGAUUGCCAAAGUACAUGUGAAGAACAUACGAGUACGACCGCAAUUCUCGUAUGGGCAUAGACCUAGCUGAUUAAGUUAUCUAGCAAAGGUGGUACCUCUGUGUAGUGGUUCUUAUUUAAGUCCUCGCGCAGGAGGCAAAUUUACGCCGCGAAGGGCGAUUGUGAUAUUUACCGAGGCGCAGGUAAAUAUAUGAGAUGAAUUGUGAUAUCACGAACUGUUUGUAAACCCUGAUUGCGAUGACAUGGUGUCAUACAAUCAGUUCUCUCUAAAGGCCUCGGGAACGCUAGAACUCCUCUCGCUGCUGAUAACGUUACGUUCAGAGCGCAUGGGGACUAGAGUUCAUGGAACAAGUACCACUGAUGUUAGUGACCGAAAAGCUUUGCCAUGACAAGGCUAAUGUGUUUGGCACGUCAUGGAUUGCGGGUAAAGCGUACAUCUACUGUAGUAUGAAUAUUAUUAAAACUAUUUGAAUAGCCGUGGUCGCGGUUAUCGGGCAUUGGGACUCACAAUGGCAUCUUGGUUACAAACAUAAUUUCAAACUUUAUUAAAUACUGUUGCAUUUAAAACAUUAUAGACUUUCCUUCUAUAUUCUCUGCUUUCUGCAAGUAAAUCUAACCCUACUCAAAUAUUAUUAUUUCAUGCAUUCGUUGUUGAUUAAUAUAAUAGCUUGCUGAGUACGUUGUACUCACCCUUGCUUUAACCCCACCUUUUUCAGAGUCAUUUUAGAGUUCUUACCGAAGCUGGGAGUUCAAUCAUAUAAGUUAAUCUCAUUUUAACUUAGUUCUCAAGUAUAGAUUAGAUAGAUGGUUUAAGUCUAUAGCAAAACACUAGAGUUGAGUCAUCGUAUAGCUUCUGCUGUAAUAGUUAGCCACAAGUUUGUAAAUACCCUAUUAUUUUAUGUAAAGGAAUCUCCUUUGGAGCCUUGUCAAAAUAUAUGCAAUGAAGAACCAGAUUGUUGAACCUA